GAGUUUGAUCAUGGCUCAGAACGAACGCUGGCGGCAUGCCUAACACGUGCAAGUCGAACGAGACCUUCGGGUCUAGUGGCGCACGGGUGCGUAACGCGUGGGAAUCUGCCCCUUGGUACGGAAUAACUCAGGGAAAACUUGAGCUAAUACCGUAUGAUGUCUUCGGACCAAAGAUUUAUCGCCUAGGGAUGAGCCCGCGUUGGAUUAGCUAGUUGGUGGGGUAAAGGCCUACCAAGGCGACGAUCCAUAGCUGGUCUGAGAGGAUGAUCAGCCACACUGGGACUGAGACACGGCCCAGACUCCUACGGGAGGCAGCAGUGGGGAAUAUUGGACAAUGGGCGAAAGCCUGAUCCAGCAAUGCCGCGUGAGUGAAGAAGGCCUUAGGGUUGUAAAGCUCUUUUACCCGGGAAGAUAAUGACUGUACCGGGAGAAUAAGCCCCGGCUAGCUCCGUGCCAGCAGCCGCGGUAAUACG
Molecule: ribosomal RNA, 473 nt
Filed under: uncultured eubacterium WR136
Lineage: Bacteria
Description: bacterial SSU rRNA
Rfam family: Bacterial small subunit ribosomal RNA
Source: RNAcentral